This 460-nucleotide ribosomal RNA is filed under the name uncultured bacterium. RNAcentral describes it as "partial 16S ribosomal RNA". It matches the Rfam family "Bacterial small subunit ribosomal RNA", at positions 338 to 795 of the family's 1533-position model. The record is from RNAcentral.
CCUACGGGAGGCUGCAGUCGAGAAUCAUUCACAAUGGGCGCGAGCCUGAACCAGCCAAGUAGCGUGAAGGAUGACUGCCCUACGGGUUGUAAACUUCUUUUAUAAAGGAAUAAAGUGAGGCACGUGUGCCUUUUUGUAUGUACCUUAUGAAUAAGGAUCGGCUAACUCCGUGCCAGCAGCCGCGGUAAUACGGAGGAUCCGAGCGUUAUCCGGAUUUAUUGGGUUUAAAGGGAGCGUAGAUGGGUUGUUAAGUCAGUUGUGAAAGUUUGCGGCUCAACCGUAAAAUUGCAAUUGAUACUGGCAGUCUUGAGUACAGUAGAGGUAGGCGGAAUUCGUGGUGUAGCGGUGAAAUGCUUAGAUAUCACGAAGAACACCGAUUGCGAAGGCAGCUUACUAAACUGCAACUGACAUUGAUGCUCGAAAGUGUGGGUAUCAAACAGGAUUAGAUACCCCUGUAGUC